GUCCUCUGGUUCUUCUUCAUUUUGCAUAAAUCUUCCUUUUACUAAAGAUUUCUGUGGAGAGGACUAAUUUUGAGUCAUAAACCAAUUGUUUGAGGUUUGCUUUGACAGGGU
Molecule: small nuclear RNA, 111 nt
Filed under: Choloepus hoffmanni (Hoffmann's two-fingered sloth)
Lineage: Eukaryota; Metazoa; Chordata; Mammalia; Pilosa; Megalonychidae
Description: U5 spliceosomal RNA (ENSCHOG00000015820.1)
Rfam family: U5 spliceosomal RNA
About the family: U5 RNA is a component of both types of known spliceosome. The precise function of this molecule is unknown, though it is known that the 5' loop is required for splice site selection and p220 binding, and that both the 3' stem-loop and the Sm site are important for Sm protein binding and cap methylation.
Source: RNAcentral